RNAcentral lists this ribosomal RNA (484 nucleotides) under uncultured bacterium. RNAcentral's name for it is "bacterial SSU rRNA". It matches the Rfam family "Bacterial small subunit ribosomal RNA", at positions 30 to 507 of the family's 1533-position model. The record is from RNAcentral.
AUUGAACGCUGGCGGCAUGCUUUACACAUGCAAGUCGAACGGUAACAGGGAGCUUGCUCCGCUGACGAGUGGCGAACGGGUGAGUAAUGCAUCGGAACGUACCGUGUAAUGGGGGAUAACGUAGCGAAAGUUACGCUAAUACCGCAUACGCCCUGAGGGGGAAAGUGGGGGACCGCAAGGCCUCACGUUAUACGAGCGGCCGAUGUCGGAUUAGCUAGUUGGUGAGGUAAAGGCUCACCAAGGCGACGAUCUGUAGCGGGUCUGAGAGGAUGAUCCGCCACACUGGGACUGAGACACGGCCCAGACUCCUACGGGAGGCAGCAGUGGGGAAUUUUGGACAAUGGGGGCAACCCUGAUCCAGCCAUGCCGCGUGAGUGAAGAAGGCCUUCGGGUUGUAAAGCUCUUUCGGCCGGGAAGAAAUCGCAUGGGUUAAUACCCUGUGCGGAUGACGGUACCGGCAUAAGAAGCACCGGCUAACUACGUG